AUGUCUGAGGAAAUGAAGGAUAAGUUUGAGAAGUAUUGGAAAGAUAUCCAUGGUCUUAUGUCCGUUGCAACAGUUCUUGAUCCAAGGUAUAAACUUCAUAUUCUCAAUGCUCUUUAUGGCCCCCUCUAUGGAAGAGAGCAUGCAACCACCGAAAUAGAGAAGGUAAAGAAGUUAUUGAUUGAGUUGGUGAAGAAAUAUAAAGAUGAAGUUGAAGGUGAGGAUACACAUGAUGCUUCUAUUACGGAGCCAGUUGGAGAACAAGAUGAAGUCAUGAAACUCUAUGACAUGUAUUUGUCUAGUCGCCCCAUGGUCCCUUCUUCAUCAAUCCAUACAGAAUUGGACUUGUAUUUGGAAGAAGCUAGUUUUCUUAAAAAUAGAACACAAUAA
Molecule: ribosomal RNA, 387 nt
Filed under: Triticum aestivum (bread wheat)
Lineage: Eukaryota; Viridiplantae; Streptophyta; Magnoliopsida; Poales; Poaceae
Description: partial small subunit ribosomal RNA
Source: RNAcentral